GUCGUCAUCCGUCAUCCUCGGAGCUCAGCUUUUUUCUUCACUUGCCCAGGGGCUGCGGGCAGUGACACACCCACUGAGGGUUUGGGGCUUUUAGAAAGUAGCUUCUUAGAAAACCAGAAACCUGUUUGGGACUGGAAUUUUGCGCACUACUUGGAACGAUAAAAUACCAACCCGACAGAGUCUUGAGAGGUGGGGUGUACAUGUGCGUACGUGAGCAGCAGAGGAACUACAGAAGAGCAAUAAGGUUAGCCGUGUCAGAAAGAUGUCACCAUUUACAGAAAAGAGAAAAGGAAGGAAAAAUAUGCCAUUUAUGGAAAGAGCAAAGGAAGCAUUUUAUGUCUUCCCUGCUGGUGGUUCAACUUCAGCCGACAAGCUCUAUCUCAUGGAGAAUUUCAGCACCACCCUCCUCUGUACCACUGGAGAAGAAUAAAAAUGAAGUCUGUAUACGAGAUGCAUCUGGAGAGAGACAGUAAUUACUGGCCAGGACUGAUUAAAAUUCUCGCUAGGACCUCAGAGAAGCACUGAUCAUGGCUUGGCAAAGAAAGGAAAGCAUCGCUACUGCUUCCCAGAGCACGUGUGGAGCGAGGAACAAAGACAGCAAAAUAUAUCACUGGCUUCUAGCCACAAGCUAAGAAAGUGAAUGAAGGAAAAGCCAGAUUGUAUCGAUCUGCCGCUCCUAUCUAUGAUACGAUGUUCAACUCCAUGAUCAGGCUGUAGGACGACACUUUCCCUCACUGUAAGCAGAUUGUUAAUAUUCCCUAGGUCUUUCUCAUGCUGCUGCAUUUCAUCUCCCUAAAUAAUAGCAAUCAUAGGGGCAAAGUUGGUUUGCAUUACAUAUUUGUCUCACUCAUACACCUGGCAAAAAAAUCCUGUGCAUAUUACACACUGAUACGUAGCCAAAAAGGGAAUGUUUCCUUCCCUCUUCACUCCAGAAAAAACGCUCAAGGUUUUACUCCCAGAACCAGGGAUGACAAGGUGGCUUUUUUUGCAGGCUCUUGACUCCCACCUUCCCCUGGCCUAGAAAGUUGGCUUACUAGUUGGCUUCUCUAGUAGAUUUUUUUUUUAGAAUAAAUGCUUUUGAAAUAUUCUUUCCAAAAUGCAGGGAUCACAUGAGCAAUGUAAUUCACUCCAAUUAACUUUGAUUUGUUUUCCAGUAAUUGCUAACUGAUGAGUUUAUUAAACUUAUGUCUCAGAGUUUUUCUAAGGGUAAAAAUUCCCUUUAAGAGUCAAUGGUUCACAUAAGAAAUAGGAAGAUCGGUAGGAGAAGGAAGGAAAGAAUGAAGGGGGGGUAAACCGAAGGGGGAAUGAACCAUGAGAGACUGUGGACUCUGGGAAACAAACUGAGGGCUUCAGAGUGAGGG
Ailuropoda melanoleuca (giant panda) is the source of this 1361-nucleotide long non-coding RNA. RefSeq lists it as uncharacterized. The record is from RefSeq and is a predicted model, not a curated record. NCBI's taxonomy places the organism in Eukaryota, Metazoa, Chordata, Mammalia, Carnivora, Ursidae. The transcript is spliced from 3 exons.